GAUGAACGCUGGCGGCGUGCCUAAUACAUGCAAGUCGAGCGAACAGAUGAGGAGCUUGCUCCUCUUACGUUAGCGGCGGACGGGUGAGUAACACGUGGAUAACCUACCUAUAAGACUGGGAUAACUUCGGGAAACCGGAGCUAAUACCGGAUAAUAUAUUGAACCGCAUGGUUCAAUAGUGAAAGACGGUUUUGCUGUCACUUAUAGAUGGAUCCGCGCCGCAUUAGCUAGUUGGUAAGGUAACGGCUUACCAAGGCAACGAUGCGUAACCGACCUGAGAGGGGGGUCGGCCCACCCGGAAAUGAAGACCGGUCCAGGACCCGACGGGAGGCAGGAGGAGGGAAUUUUCCGGAAUGGGGGAAAGCCUGAAGGAGCAACCCCGGGGGAAUGAAGAAGGUCUGCGGAUCGUAAAACGUUUUUAUUAGGGAAAAACAAAUUGGGAAGUAAACAUGCCCGUUUUGACGGUACCUAAGCAGAAAGCCCCGGCUAACUGCGG
RNAcentral lists this ribosomal RNA (496 nucleotides) under uncultured bacterium. RNAcentral describes it as "partial 16S ribosomal RNA". It matches the Rfam family "Bacterial small subunit ribosomal RNA", at positions 28 to 506 of the family's 1533-position model. The record is from RNAcentral.